ACGGGAGGCAGCAGUAGGGAAUUUUCGUCAAUGGGGGGAACCCUGAACGAGCAAUGCCGCGUGAGCGAAGAAGGUCUUCGGAUCGUAAAGCUCUGUUGUAAGAGAAAAAUGGCAGAUAUAGGAAAUGAUAUCUGAGUGAUGGUAUCUUACCAGAAAGUCACGGCUAACUACGUGCCAGCAGCCGCGGUAAUACGUAGGUGGCGAGCGUUAUCCGGAAUGAUUGGGCGUAAAGGGUGCGUAGGUGGCACGAUAAGUCUGAAGUCAAAGCUGGCAGCUCAACUGUCAUACGCUUUGGAAACUGUCGAGCUAGAGUGCAGGAGAGGGCGAUGGAACUCCAUGUGUAGCGGUAAAAUGCGUAGAUAUAUGGAAGAACACCGGUGGCGAAGGCGGUCGCCUGGCCUGUAACUGACACUGAGGCACGAAAGCGUGGGGAGCAAAUAGGAUUAGAUACCCUGGUA
This 458-nucleotide ribosomal RNA is filed under the name uncultured Erysipelotrichaceae bacterium. RNAcentral's name for it is "bacterial SSU rRNA". It matches the Rfam family "Bacterial small subunit ribosomal RNA", at positions 341 to 792 of the family's 1533-position model. Lineage: Bacteria; Bacillati; Bacillota; Erysipelotrichia; Erysipelotrichales; Erysipelotrichaceae. The record is from RNAcentral.